GGGAUUCCUAUGACACCGAACCUAUAUAUAAGUGUUCUUCGCGAGUCAUCAACUAACCGAUUCAAACGCCCUUUCAUCAUUAUUGUAAACAUCGUCGUCGUUCUCCUCCUACUUCCUCCUCAAAGGAGUAAAAUGUUGCAGGCUAUGGUGUCCUGCAAGCACCUGACUUGGUUACCAUCUUCAUCACUUGCAAAAGAGAUGUACUCCUCCUACCACAUCAAUCCCUCAACUUCAGUCUUCCCCAUUUCUCAAUCAUCCAAAUUCAACAAUUCUCAUCGAAUCUUCUCUUCUUCAAGUGCCCUUUCUCUUUCCCGUAUGAGAAAUUGCAGUAAGGUGCAUGCAUUUGAUUUUCAAGGUGGACAAGGAAUGAAGAGUUACUUUGAUGUCGAGCUGAAAGUCCGUGACUAUGAACUAGAUCAGUAUGGUGUUGUAAACAAUGCUGUCUAUGCAAGUUAUUGCCAACAUGCCCGACACGAGCUUCUGGAGAGGAUUGGUGUCAAUGCAGAUGAAGUUGCUCGUACUGGAAACGCAUUAGCACUAUCGGAGUUGUCCCUCAAAUUCCUAGCACCACUAAGAAGUGGUGAGAGGUUCGUUGUGAAAGUGAGGAUCUCUGGCUCCUCACCUGCUCGCUUAUUCUUUGAACACAUCAUCUUGAAGCUACCAAAUCAAGAGCCCAUCUUGGAAGCAAAGGGCACGGCCGUUUGGCUCGACAAAAACUAUCGGCCUGUUCGUAUUCCACCAGAUAUGAGAUCGAAGUUGGUUCAGUUCAUUCGCCACGAAGAUCUGUAAUGAAUUUAAUCUAAGGGUAUAUGGUCUGAAGAUAUCACUGUUGUUUGUGGUGACUGUGGCCUUUCGGAUCAAGUUGACUAUUUGAUGCUUUACAUCUUUUGACGAUUGAAUUUUCGUGACCCUUACACAGUUUGUUCUAGAAUUCUUUAAGGUAAUCCGCACUUUACAAUUUUAGGCCACAGAAAGCAGAGCAGCGUACAAAGUCCACUGAGGUCAUCAAUCUCUAAACAGAAAACAUUAAAAAAAAAGGGCACGAAUGAGCUAGAAGAAGAAAGUUGUUGAAUGCAAACCUUACUCCUGAACUUUACUUCACAAAUUUUUGGAUGCAACCUGGUACAAAAUGAUUGAUUCUUGGACUAGUAGUCUACACCAGAAGUUCAGCCCCAUGCACUUCACGAUUGAAAUGCUUACACAAACAAACGAAGAACAAAGUAUUCAUUGUCACUGUAUGAAGGGGAAAAUUGUCAAAAUUAUUAACAUGGUGUGACAUGGUGCUGUUUCUUGACAAAUGUAUGUGUAUAUCCGUCGCUACUAUUUCUCUUUUCCUUUUGUUGUUCAUCUUCUUCUUAUCCAAAGAGGAUCGUUUGAGGAUUUUUUGUUUUGGGAGCCACUACAGCUCCCCGUCUGUUAUAGUUUAUUAGAUCCUUUCAAUCUGUCUAGUUUCCUCGUAAACAAUGGAGGAACUCCCAAUGAAAGCAUCUACCAAGGCCAAAAUUAUAACCAGUUUUUUGCCAUAACUAAACUGGAAAGAAACUCAUCUGGACAUGUAGUUGGAGCUCAUCAGAU
RNA transcript from Papaver somniferum (opium poppy), 1575 nucleotides. It is a transcript of the gene named acyl-acyl carrier protein thioesterase ATL3, chloroplastic-like, with no coding region annotated. The record is from RefSeq and is a predicted model, not a curated record. The transcript is spliced from 6 exons. Lineage: Eukaryota; Viridiplantae; Streptophyta; Magnoliopsida; Ranunculales; Papaveraceae.